CCUACGGUAUGCAGCAGUGGGGAAUAUUGGACAAUGGGGGGAACCCUGAUCCAGCGACGCCGCGUGAGUGAAGAAGUAUUUCGGUAUGUAAAGCUCUAUCAGCAGGGAAGAAAGAAAUGACGGUACCUGACUAAGAAGCCCCGGCUAACUACGUGCCAGCAGCCGCGGUAAUACGUAGGGGGCAAGCGUUAUCCGGAUUUACUUGGUAUAAAGGGAGCGUAGACGGCGAUGCAAGUCUGAAGUGAAAGGCGGGGGCCCAACCCCCGGACUGCUUUGGAAACUUUAUGGCUGGAGUGCAGGAGAGGUAAGUGGAAUUCCUAGUGUAGCGGUGAAAUGCGUAGAUAUUAGGAGGAACACCAGUGGCGAAGGCGGCUUACUGGACUGUAACUGACGUUGAGGCUCGAAAGCGUGGGGAGCAAACAGGAUUAGAUACCCUAGUAGUC
RNAcentral lists this ribosomal RNA (443 nucleotides) under uncultured bacterium. RNAcentral's name for it is "partial 16S ribosomal RNA". It matches the Rfam family "Bacterial small subunit ribosomal RNA", at positions 338 to 795 of the family's 1533-position model. The record is from RNAcentral.